RNAcentral lists this unclassified non-coding RNA (1254 nucleotides) under Hevea brasiliensis (rubber tree). The record is from RNAcentral. Lineage: Eukaryota; Viridiplantae; Streptophyta; Magnoliopsida; Malpighiales; Euphorbiaceae.
GAAAAAGUUCUACUUUACCCAGACAAUUUCAAUGAAUUGUGAGUUCUUUCCUUUAGGUAAAAGGGAAGGCAUGUCAGAGGGAACCAGUGAUGUUUUUUUAUACAUCCAAGAUCAUGGAUCUUCAGGAUCUAAGGGUGAUGAAGAGCACAAAAUGAUGAAAAGGACGUUGAUCUCUAUUGAAUCAACUGCAUUUUUGUGCAUUAUGGGGCUCUUAAUCACUACCUUGACGGUGGAUAGACUCCAGAAUUCCAGGAUUUGGGAUUUUGAGAUGUGGAAAUGGUGUUUCUUAAUACUGGCUGUUCUCUGUGGUAGACUGAUUGUUUACCUUCCGGUUAAGUUGAUUUGGAAGUUUUGUUCACGGAGGCACUGGACUGAGAAAGCACUUUACUUCGCAUAUGGAUUAAAGAAGAGCAUCAUCGUUUUAAUAUGGGUGGCUUUGGUUUUACUAGCUUGGGCUCUGCUGUUUGACAGAGGGGUUAAGCGAAGCGAGGAAGUAAGAAAGACUCUAAAUUAUGUUACUAGAUUUCUUAUUGGUUUUCUCAUUGGAGUUGGUAUAUGGUCAGUGAAAACUGUUUUAGUAAAGCUUGUAGCUUAUUUCCAUGUGAAGACUUUGUUUCAGAGGAUUAAGGAAGCAAACUACAAUCGCAAGAUCCUUGAGGCUGUUUCAAAGAAGGAAGAGGUCAAGCAAGACACAAGUAGAGAGUUGCUAAAUGCUAUUUUUGGUGAAAAGCUGCCUACUCUCGGCUUCAUCGGUGAUGGCAAGUAUAAAGAGAUCAACAUAGAAGAUGAUCAUGUGGGAGAAGCAAAAGAAGCUGCUAAUGAGAUUUUCAAGAAACUCGUGGGUCCUAAUUACAAUGAUGAUAAAUACGUGGACUUGAAAAUCCUAUUGAAUUGCCUGAAAGAUAAAGAGCAGUGUCCUGAUUGUCAACUGGUAAAGAAAAAGAAGUGUCAACAAUGCGAAGUGAUAAAGGAAACGCGUGAAUAUUUCGAAGCGGUAGCAGAAGAUAAAUCUACGGGCAGAGAACAGAACAAUCAAUCUGAAUUCAGGAUAUGGGUUAACGAAUUGGUAAACGGUGAACCUGCAGAAGCUGCAGCAGAUAAAGCCGCACAUGGAGAUAAACAGAUAAAGAAAUCCGUCUUCAGAAAUUGGGUGGUGAAAGUUUACAAGGACUAUGCAUCGGUGAAUAGCGCCUUGAAAUACAGAAAAACAGCAGUUGACGAGUUGAACACGCUUGCUUCCGUGGUGGUGCUUUU